Homo sapiens (human) is the source of this 1004-nucleotide long non-coding RNA. RefSeq lists it as uncharacterized. The record is from RefSeq and is a predicted model, not a curated record. The transcript has 3 exons. NCBI's taxonomy places the organism in Eukaryota, Metazoa, Chordata, Mammalia, Primates, Hominidae.
GAGAGGAAGCCCACGGCGGGCAGGGGCGGCCGGGUAUGACAAUCGCCGUGCGGCCCCGGGGCAGCUCCCGGAGGGGGCAGCCCAGACCCACCCCACCCGCCGGCUGCUGUCUCCUCCCGAGCUCGGCGCUGCCCCCUACAGGCCGCGUGGUCCCUCCUCGGUCGCCCCCUGACCCACCAUGAGCCGCCUAGCUCCCUGUCGAGAUUGCCGCCGUCGCGGCUGCUGUCACCGAGGCCGGGUCAUCGGGCCGCGGGGACCUCAAAGCCGAGUGGACGGGAGCCCCAAGUCAUUGCCUAUCCUUCGCCUCCCCAGAGCUGCUGCAACUGUCAGUCACCCACCCGGAACCCCGAGGGGCAACUACCAAGUAGGCCUCGGGGCCCGGAACAAGGGUCCCGGGGCUCAGGAUCUCGGCCGCUGCGCCUCACUCCUGCCCCAGCCCCGCGCACGGAACUCGUUUCCUUCCCACCCAGUUCGGGACACUCCUCUCUGACUUCCCCAGUAGGAUCUCACUUGCAGCGCUACAGCCAGUCCCUCUUCUGGUUCUCACGCACCCACUUAAGGCGGAGUGACUGGCCUAAAAGUCCAAGCUGAUCGUGUGGCUUCCGUUCGUAAAUAUCUCCCCUGGAUCUCCCUCCCUGGAGCCAGACAAGACUCAAAACUCCGAAGGGAAUGCAGUCCCCGCAGGGCGCAAAGGAGAAACUAAUAGUCCAGAGGCGGGGUGAACUUAAAGACCUGGCUUUCAUUAGCGUGGUGUUGUAACAGACUGCCAAGGAGCCUCUGAGGAAAUGGAUUUACGUACAUAUACAUACUCGCCCUUGCCCCUGAAGCAACAUCAAAUACUUUCAUGUUAUUCUUGGGGGCGUUUUAAUUCUUCCGAUCCUCUGAAUUCGUGUUUUUGUACAUCUCUUUCCAACCUGGGCCUACACACUAACAGAAAUAGUUUUUUACAUCGAAGGACAAUGCUUAGUGUUUUAUUCAGUCUCAGCUCUUUUCUUUCUUUUUUC